CCCUGAGAGAUGAUCAGGUAGAUAGGUUGGAAGUGGAAGGCUAGUGAUAGUUGGAGCGGACCAAUACUAAUCGGUCGAGGACUUAACCAA
This 90-nucleotide ribosomal RNA is filed under the name Enterococcus faecalis. RNAcentral describes it as "partial 23S ribosomal RNA". It matches the Rfam family "Bacterial large subunit ribosomal RNA", at positions 2835 to 2925 of the family's 2925-position model. RNAcentral also lists the same sequence under 3 other names. The record is from RNAcentral. Lineage: Bacteria; Bacillati; Bacillota; Bacilli; Lactobacillales; Enterococcaceae.